RNAcentral lists this ribosomal RNA (116 nucleotides) under Streptococcus plurextorum. The record is from RNAcentral. Lineage: Bacteria; Bacillati; Bacillota; Bacilli; Lactobacillales; Streptococcaceae.
UUAAGUGACGAUAGCCUAGGAGAUACACCUGUACCCAUGCCGAACACAGUAGUUAAGCCCUAGAACGCCGGAAGUAGUUGGGGGUUUCCCCCUGUGAGAUAAGGAAGUUGCUUAGC